GAUGAACGCUGGCGGCGUGCCUAAUACAUGCAAGUCGAGCGAACGGACGCGAAGCUUGCUUCUCUGAUGUUAGCGGCGGACGGGUGAGUAACACGUGGAUCACCUACCUAUAAGACUGGGAUCACUUCGGGAAACCGGAGCUAAUCCCGGAUAAUAUUUUGAACCGCAUGGUUCAAAAGUGAAAUACGGUCUUGCUGUCACUUAUAGAUGGAUCCGCGCUGCAUUAGCUAGUUGGUAAGGUAACGGCUUACCAAGGCAACGAUGCAUAGCCGACCUGAGAGGGGGGUAGGCCACACGGGAACGUGGCCGAGGACCAGGAGACUAAGGGAGGGCGCAGUAGGGUAUGUUACGCAAUGGGGGGAAACCUUGCAGAAUGAGCGCGAGCGUGGGAUGGAAGUCCUCCGAGCGGAAAACCCUGUUAUUAGGGAAGAACAUAUGUGUAAGUAACUGUGCACAUCGUGACGGUACCUAACCAGAAAGCCCCGGCUAACUACGUG
RNAcentral lists this ribosomal RNA (497 nucleotides) under uncultured bacterium. Its description in RNAcentral is "partial 16S ribosomal RNA". It matches the Rfam family "Bacterial small subunit ribosomal RNA", at positions 28 to 507 of the family's 1533-position model. The record is from RNAcentral.